Molecule: ribosomal RNA, 294 nt
Filed under: uncultured Pseudomonas sp.
Lineage: Bacteria; Pseudomonadati; Pseudomonadota; Gammaproteobacteria; Pseudomonadales; Pseudomonadaceae
Description: partial 16S ribosomal RNA
Rfam family: Bacterial small subunit ribosomal RNA
Source: RNAcentral
GUAACGAGCGCAACCCUUGUCCUUAGUUACCAGCACGUUAUGGUGGGCACUCUAAGGAGACUGCCGGUGACAACCGGAGGAAGGUGGGGAUGACGUCAAGUCAUCAUGGCCCUUACGGCCUGGGCUACACACGUGCUACAAUGGUCGGUACAAAGGGUUGCCAAGCCGCGAGGUGGAGCGUAAUCCCAUAAAACCGAUCGUAGUCCGGAUCGCAGUCUGCAACUCGACUGCGUGAAGUCGGAAUCGCUAGUAAUCGUGAAUCAGAAUGUCACGGUGAAUACGUUCCCGGGCCUU